AUUCGAGGCGACGGGCUCCGGGCCCUGAUAGAUGGGGUGCGGGGACGGAGACAAAUGACGGCCUUUGGGCUCGGAAUACCCACCUUUCUGGUAAUGCAGCCCAGCGGGUCCCAGCCUCGUUUUCCAGCCCUCACUCAAAAUGGAGUCGCUCUGGUUCGAACGCCUCUGACAAGUGUGUACCUACGUGUCAGGAUUUGCCGGGUGCUGGGCCCCAGAAGCCAGCCCUCCUGACGUGUGGCGGCCGUCCUCACCGCUCCCUCCUUCCCUGCAGCAUUCCCCAGCCCCCGGCCCACCCUCCUCCCACCCGCUUCCUGACCCAGGCUCCCGGGCCUUCCCCUCGUGGCCACCUAGCUGUGUGCUUUGUUUGGCUGCUGUCACCCCCAGGAAGGUGAUCCCCGUGAGAACUCAAAUAGCAGAUGCUCAUCUGGGACCCCCGCCUCCAGCCCCAGGGGAGGUUUCCUGGUCCUCACUGUGGCCGGGGCAUGGCUCCUUCACCCCGGGGCUCACCCUCGGUGUCCGUGAAGUCCAGCCGACGGUGACCCUAAGUCCUCCCUCCACUCGCCUAUGUUUGGGGAUAGCCCAUCCUUCCUGCAGGCCUUUGUCUUGGUGUCACCCUGCCUGAGCUGGCCCCAACCACAGUAGCAACAGUGAUGCUGAUGUGUGACUGCUGCCAGGAGCCUGCUCACAUGACCGUGUGGAGAAAGUUCUUUCCCUGAGGACCAUCUGGAGUGGACGCGUGCACUACCCCUCUCUGAAUACACCCUCCCCACGAGGCCCUCUGGAGCAUCCUGUAGAGCCAGCCCCUACCCAGAGACCCUGAGCCCAGAGAAUGCGCUGGGUGGUGAGCCUGGGGACGAAUGCAGAGCCCUAGGUCUCCUCUCCAGAAAGACCGGAUUUUGCCAUGUUGGCCAGGCUGGUCUUGAACUCCUGACCUCAAGUGAUCCACCUGCCUCGGCCUCCCAAAGUGCAGGGAUUACAGGUGUGAGCCACUGCACCCGGCCUCAGGCAGGUAUUUUUACCAGCCGAAUACUCUUGCACUGUGCACUCUUCGUGUUCAUCAUCAGUCCCCCGGAUGGGUGUUUAAGGCAUUUCCAAAGCUCUGUUAUUAAAAACACGAUGCAAUGAGUUUCUUUCAGCAUUUCCCCUUGUUGCCGUGUGAAUGCGUCCGUGGUAUAACUUCCUAAAAGUGGAAUCGCUUGGUCAAAGGGUGGGUGCAUUUAGCAACCUGAUGGCUUUCCAGGAGACAAGUGCUGCCUCCCG
This 1260-nucleotide long non-coding RNA is filed under the name Homo sapiens (human). Its description in RNAcentral is "HSALNT0355047". The record is from RNAcentral. Lineage: Eukaryota; Metazoa; Chordata; Mammalia; Primates; Hominidae.